GAUGAACGCUGGCGGCGUGCCUAAUACAUGCAAGUCGAGCGAGCAGACGAGGAGCUUGCUCCUGUGACUUUAGCGGCGAACGGGUGAGUAACACGUGGAUAACCUACCUAUAAGACUGGGAUAACUUUGGGAAACCGGAGCUAAUACCGGAUAAUAUAUUGAACCGCAUGGUUCAAUAGGGAAAGACGGUUUUGCUGUCACUUAUAGGUUGAUCCGCGCCGCAUUAGCUAGUUGGUAAGGUAACGGCUUACCAAGGCGACGAUGCGUAGCCGACCUGAGAGGGUGAUCGGCCACACUGGAACUGAGACACGGCCCAGACUCCUACGGGAGGCAGCAGUAGGGAAUCUUCCGCAAUGGGCGAAAGCCUGACGGAGCAACGCCGCGUGAGUGAUGAAGGUUUUCGGAUCGUAAAACUCUGCUAUUAGGGAAGAACAAAUGUGUAAGUAACUAUGCACGUCUUGACGGUACCUAAUCAGAAAGCCACGGCUAACUACGUG
Molecule: ribosomal RNA, 497 nt
Filed under: uncultured bacterium
Lineage: Bacteria
Description: partial 16S ribosomal RNA
Rfam family: Bacterial small subunit ribosomal RNA
Source: RNAcentral